GCAGUGGUGAUUCAAUGGUGGAAUCUUCGCCUUCUGUGCAGGAGACCCAAGUUCGAUUCCCGGCCAAUGCA
Molecule: transfer RNA, 71 nt
Filed under: Loxodonta africana (African savanna elephant)
Lineage: Eukaryota; Metazoa; Chordata; Mammalia; Proboscidea; Elephantidae
Rfam family: tRNA
About the family: Transfer RNA (tRNA) molecules are approximately 80 nucleotides in length.
Source: Rfam by way of RNAcentral